RNAcentral lists this ribosomal RNA (372 nucleotides) under uncultured organism. RNAcentral's name for it is "partial 16S ribosomal RNA". It matches the Rfam family "Bacterial small subunit ribosomal RNA", at positions 527 to 896 of the family's 1533-position model. The record is from RNAcentral.
GUAGGUGGCAAGCGCUGUCCGGAAUUAUUGGGCGUAAAGCGCGCGCAGGCGGUCCUUUAAGUCUGAUGUGAAAGCCCACGGCUCAACCGUGGAGGGUCAUUGGAAACUGGGGGACUUGAGUACAGAAGAGGAAAGCGGAAUUCCAAGUGUAGCGGUGAAAUGCGUAGAGAUUUGGAGGAACACCAGUGGCGAAGGCGGCUUUCUGGUCUGUAACUGACGCUGAGGCGCGAAAGCGUGGGGAGCAAACAGGGAUUAGAUACCCUGGUAGUCCACGCCGUAAACGAUGAGUGCUAAGUGUUAGGGGGUUUCCCGCCCCUUAGUGCUGCAGCUAACGCAUUAAGCACUCCGCCUGGGGAUACGGCCGCAAGGCUG